This 1934-nucleotide ribosomal RNA is filed under the name human oral metagenome. RNAcentral's name for it is "bacterial LSU rRNA". It matches the Rfam family "Bacterial large subunit ribosomal RNA", at positions 3 to 1977 of the family's 2925-position model. The record is from RNAcentral.
UCAAGUGAAUAAGUGCAUCAGGUGGAUGCCUUGGCGAUGAUAGGCGACGAAGGACGUGUAAGCCUGCGAAAAGCGCGGGGGAGCUGGCAAUAAAGCUAUGAUCCCGCGAUGUCCGAAUGGGGAAACCCACCUCUUAGGAGGUAUCCUUAUCUGAAUACAUAGGAUAAGCGAAGCGAACCCGGAGAACUGAACCAUCUAAGUACCCGGAGGAAAAGAAAUCAACCGAGAUUCCGCAAGUAGUGGCGAGCGAACGCGGAGGAGCCUGUACGUGAUAACUGUCGAGAUAGAAGAACAAGCUGGGAAGCUUGACCAUAGUGGGUGAUAGUCCCGUAUUCGAAAUCUCAAUAGUGGUACUAAGCGUACGAAAAGUAGGGCGGGACACGUGAAAUCCUGUCUGAAUAUGGGGGGACCAUCCUCCAAGGCUAAAUACUCAUCAUCGACCGAUAGUGAACCAGUACCGUGAGGGAAAGGCGAAAAGAACCCCGGGAGGGGAGUGAAAUAGAACCUGAAACCUGAUGCAUACAAACAGUGGGAGCACCCUUGUGGUGUGACUGCGUACCUUUUGUAUAAUGGGUCAACGACUUACAUUCAGUAGCGAGCUUAACCGAAUAGGGGAGGCGUAGGGAAACCGAGUCUUAAUAGGGCGAACAGUUGCUGGGUGUAGACCCGAAACCGAGUGAUCUAUCCAUGGCCAGGUUGAAGGUGCCGUAACAGGUACUGGAGGACCGAACCCACGCAUGUUGCAAAAUGCGGGGAUGAGCUGUGGAUAGGGGUGAAAGGCUAAACAAACUCGGAGAUAGCUGGUUCUCCCCGAAAACUAUUUAGGUAGUGCCUCGAGCAAGACACUGAUGGGGGUAAAGCACUGUUAUGGCUAGGGGGUUAUUGCAACUUACCAACCCAUGGCAAACUAAGAAUACCAUCAAGUGGUUCCUCGGGAGACAGACAGCGGGUGCUAACGUCCGUUGUCAAGAGGGAAACAACCCAGACCGCCAGCUAAGGUCCCAAAUGAUAGAUUAAGUGGUAAACGAAGUGGGAAGGCCCAGACAGCCAGGAUGUUGGCUUAGAAGCAGCCAUCAUUUAAAGAAAGCGUAAUAGCUCACUGGUCGAGUCGUCCUGCGCGGAAGAUGUAACGGGGCUCAAAUCUAUAACCGAAGCUGCGGAUGCCAGUUUACUGGCAUGGUAGGGGAGCGUUCUGUAGGCCGAUGAAGGUGCAUUGUAAAGUGUGCUGGAGGUAUCAGAAGUGCGAAUGUUGACAUGAGUAGCGAUAAAGCGGGUGAAAAGCCCGCUCGCCGAAAGCCCAAGGUUUCCUACGCAACGUUCAUCGGCGUAGGGUGAGUCGGCCCCUAAGGCGAGGCAGAAAUGCGUAGUCGAUGGGAAACAGGUUAAUAUUCCUGUACUUGAUUCAAAUGCGAUGUGGGGACGGAGAAGGUUAGGUUAGCAAGCUGUUGGAAUAGCUUGUUUAAGCCGGUAGGUGGAAGACUUAGGCAAAUCCGGGUCUUCUUAACACCGAGAAGUGACGACGAGUGUCUACGGACAUGAAGUAACCGAUACCACGCUUCCAGGAAAAGCCACUAAGCUUCAGUUUGAAUCGAACCGUACCGCAAACCGACACAGGUGGGCAGGAUGAGAAUUCUAAGGCGCUUGAGAGAACUCGGGAGAAGGAACUCGGCAAAUUGAUACCGUAACUUCGGGAGAAGGUAUGCCCUCUAAGGUUAAGGACUUGCUCCGUAAGCCCUGGAGGGUCGCAGAGAAUAGGUGGCUGCGACUGUUUAUUAAAAACACAGCACUCUGCUAACACGAAAGUGGACGUAUAGGGUGUGACGCCUGCCCGGUGCUGGAAGGUUAAUUGAAGAUGUGCAAGCAUCGGAUCGAAGCCCCAGUAAACGGCGGCCGUAACUAUAACGGUCCUAAGGUAGCGAAAUUCCUUGUCGGGU